RNAcentral lists this long non-coding RNA (558 nucleotides) under Ananas comosus (pineapple). Its description in RNAcentral is "long non-coding RNA (ACOM_LNC033396)". The record is from RNAcentral. Lineage: Eukaryota; Viridiplantae; Streptophyta; Magnoliopsida; Poales; Bromeliaceae.
GAUCUAGCACGAUCCUGCGCCAACUGCGCACGCUCCCGCAACGACGGUCGGCCUCGGCGACGAUACAUAGCUGAAAGGAACAAAUCGGGGUCAGAUACAACGCAACACUCUCGACCCAAUCAACGAAAGUCCAGGAGGCGGUCCCUAUUUUCCUCCAAAAUUAUGUCGUCUGCAGCCAACAUAAUUUUUCAGGCCAAAACAGAAACUACUUCAGUCACUCACUCUACUCUAAGAGGAGUUAAAACAAAUAAUCAUUGACUUUCGCAAUAAAAUUACGCCUCUCACGUCUUGCUUCCCUAAUGUUUGUCAAACUUAAGUUUCCUAGGUCCCCACGACCUACAGCAAAGCUCUGAUACCAACUUAAUCUGUCACGCCCCAGAUUACACGUUCCCCGGGCACGCCGACAAAUCCGCCGUAUACAAAGAAAUUUUUCCUGUAUACGAAGCGAUAGUUGUACCUAUAAAUCAAACACUACUACAAACAGUAGUAGAGAGCUGCUAGAGAAAACUGAAGCUAAAUAAAACAGAGUUUCAUAUAUAUAGUUCGGAUCCAAAAUAC